GGCGGCGGCGCAUGCGCGGGGCGGGGGUGACUUUGAGGCGGCGCCAUGUUGAGCAGGGUGCUGGGGCCGCGCUACGCCCAGCUGCUGCAGAACUGGACUCCCACCCUUGUCACAUGGGGUGGUGUAGCUGGUGCUGGCGUAAUAUGGAUCACAGACUGGAAGCUCGUCCUUCAGUAUGUGCCCUACAUCGGUGGCAAGUAUAAAAAUGAAGACUAAGCGUCCCUCUAACGGUGAGUUUGCUUUGUGCACCUGGCAGCUUAAGUGGCAGAGGUGUGUGGAUGUGACAGUUGGCGUGCCUCGUUUCUCCGGGGCACAGCCAAAUUGUUGGUCCAAAACAGUGCUGCUUAAUCUGGUGUUAUUCAGUGCUUAUUGCUUUGUCUUGUCUUGUUUUAUGGGCAGGGCUUCUCAGAGUGCCAAAGGAUGAAAUAUUAAUAAGAGUCUUAUUCUCAAGUGAUUAUUUGGUAAGCAGUGGAUUUUUCACAGUUUACCGAGAUUCUUGAGAAGCCAAAUAAAGCCUUUUGUGGUAAUUUGGAACUUCUGAGGGAGCCACUUGCUUCUAAUCUUAGCUAGAAUGGCUUCAAGCUCAAGACUGGUUUUGUUGUCAGGCAAAUUCGGAUGCCUUUCUGUUCCAUGGAGUUACUAAAACUAAGCUAGGCGUUCUGUGCUGGUUACUAUAUACAAAAAAAUCAUUUGAAAAUGGGCUUUCUCGAGGUGUUUUUUCCUCUCCCUUUCUAACUGCAUAUGAAAUACACUGUUUUUUUGUAAGUUCUUGUAAGUUUUGAGGCUUUGGGGAGACUGACCAUCCAUAAAGCUAGAGCAGCAAUUACAGUACCUGCUGUUGGGCCUCUGAAUACACACACGUGUAGUAAGCAGGCUUAGAACUAGUUCAUUCCUUGCUGCAGAUAUAAGAAUUUUGAAGACUUUGCCUUACAUUAAAGGAUGCUGACAGGAAGAGGCCGACAAGAAGCUGUAUGCCCCUCCAUAUUUGCUGCUGCUUCUCAGAAUAACUUACGUAUAAACGUUGGUAGAUGAAAGUAAGGGGCUUGCCUUCAAGCUACACAACUUCAUAGAGAAACCAGUCACAGGAAAGAACAUUAGUACUUCUGUAAGGCUUUUUUGCAGAGGUACCUGUUGGAUUGUAAAUGCUUUACUGUGUCUUCCCUGUUUUCAAAGUGUGCAUCAAACAGGUUAUUUGUUCCUCAGCGUAACCAAAGGAUGAAAGAAAUUUUUCAUGAAACUCAGCUGUGCUCGUAGUAUCUCAGGUGACUGUGGAAGUUUGUGGAGAAGUCAGCGGAAAAGCUCUCAGGAAAUUUAUUGCUGGAUUGAGUGUUUCGGAGCCAUCCGUCCGCUGAGACCUGCUUUGAGGUGAACUUGAAAUGCCUGGUACAGAUUCUGCAACGGGCUGUCACGUCCCGCUCUCUGCCGUGAGCAGUUGUGGCCACUUGGUUGUGAGCGGAUUUUACUUCACGUACCAGCCUGCCUAGUGCUCUUCUCAUCACUUCCACAGCUGGUCUUGGCGUAAUGCAAGUAAUUUGUAAAGCUGAUGUACAAAAUAAACCAAGUGAAUGAUG
Molecule: RNA transcript, 1571 nt
Organism: Cygnus olor (mute swan)
Lineage: Eukaryota; Metazoa; Chordata; Aves; Anseriformes; Anatidae
Gene name: cytochrome b-c1 complex subunit 10
Exons: 3
Source: RefSeq, a predicted model, not a curated record